Long non-coding RNA from Culex quinquefasciatus (southern house mosquito), 548 nucleotides. RefSeq lists it as uncharacterized. The record is from RefSeq and is a predicted model, not a curated record. Lineage: Eukaryota; Metazoa; Arthropoda; Insecta; Diptera; Culicidae. The transcript has 2 exons.
GCUUGAACGUGCAACGCGGCGGCCGCCAUGUUGAUUGUUGUGGUUGCGGUGCGAAAAUCAAAAUUGUUGAUCGCUUCAAAAUGUGUCCUAAUUUUAUUUGAUUUGGCCAGAAAUUCCUUCAGUUUUCGUUUGAGAAGACCUAUUAACUAUUGAAAAGUUCCAGGUUUUAUGUGCCACGACCACUUUUUGAAGCACCUUGAACCGUGGUACCCUACAGGAUUUGGCCAAGAGAAGUGGAAGUGAACGAUUGCUGGUGCCGCUGUAGACGUUUUAAGCAGCCAUGGCCUUCUCAAGCUCGAAGAUUCCAAGGAGCCAUCCCAAGGAGGAGAAGCUUCAGGACCGACUAAAUACCGUGGACCAGAAGCUGCACGGGCCAAAUUACUUUACUCCGGUUGCUGAAAGAAGUCUAGCUGUUUCUGCUUCCCAAGCCAUCUGGCAGGUUAGUUCAUAGAAUCCGGAACCGGAAAGCGAGAGAGAACCAUGUCAAGUGUCGCGUAUGAAAAAAAAGUUGAUUAAGUGCAAAUAAAAUGAUUUAUUCCAGUAUUUAA